AUGAUACGGCCGCANGUGUGCUGAANUUCGCCCUUAGAGUUUGAUCCUGGCUCAGAACGAACGCUGGCGGCGUGGAUAAGACAUGCAAGUCGAACGGAACUAUUUGAGUAGCAAUAUGAGAGUAGUUUAGUGGCGAACGGGUGCGUAACACGUGGAUACAUUCCGGGAAGCGGGGGAUAGCCCAGGGAAACUUGGAUUAAUACCGCAUGUGAUCGAAAGAUCAAAGACGGGGACCGAAAGGCCUGUCACUUCCCGAUUGGUCCGCGGCCUAUCAGCUAGUUGGCGGGGUAAAAGCCCACCAAGGCUACGACGGGUAGCUGGUCUUAGAGGACGACCAGCCACACUGGAACUGAGACACGGUCCAGACACCUACGGGUGGCAGCAGUCGAGAAUCUUUCACAAUGGGGGCAACCCUGAUGGAGCGACGCCGCGUGGAGGAUAAGGUCUUCGGAUUGUAAACUCCUGUCAUGCGCGAACAAGGUUGCAAGGUUAAUAACUUUGCAAAUUGAUGGUACCGUAAGAGGAAGAGACGGCUAACUCUGUGCCAGCA
Molecule: ribosomal RNA, 550 nt
Filed under: uncultured freshwater bacterium
Lineage: Bacteria
Description: bacterial SSU rRNA
Rfam family: Bacterial small subunit ribosomal RNA
Source: RNAcentral